AUAUUGAAACGGACCAUUAAUUCAUUAGUGGUUAGUGGCGAAAGGGUUAGUAACAGGUGGGUAACGUACCCCGUGCUUUGGGAUAGCGUCAGUAGCUUCGGCUACUUUCCGAAAGGGACGAUAAUACCAAAUAAUAUUAAAAAUCGAUGGGCUUUUAAUCAAAGAUUUAUCGGCACAGGAGCGGCCUGCCUCCUAUCAGCUUGUUGGUGAGGUAAAGGCUUACCAAGGCUUUGACGGGUAGCGGGACUGAGAGGUUGAUCCGCAACAUCGGGACUGAGACACUGCCCGGACCUCCACGGAGGGCUGCAGUAACGAAUAUUGUGCAAUGGGCGAAAGCCUGACACAGCGACGCCGCGUGUAGGAGGAAGUCCCUCGGGAUGUAAACUACUGUCAGGGGUAAGAAAGUGCGUUUCGGCGCAUUGAUCCACCCCGGAGGAAGUCACGGCUAACUUCGUGCCAGCAGCCGCGGUAAGACGAAGGUGGCAAGCGUUAUUCGGUAUCACUGGGCUUAAAGCGUGUGUAGGCGGAAAAGUAGCACUUUGUGAAAUCCCUCGGCUUAACCGAGGAAUUGCGUAGUGAACUGCUUUUCUUGAGGCAAGUAGGGGUGCAUGGAACUCUUGGUGGAGCGGUGGAAUGCGUAGAUAUCAAGAGGAACGCCAGUGGAGAAAUCGGUGCACUGGGCUUGUCCUGACGCUGAGACACGAAAGCGUGGGUAGCGAACGGGAUUAGAUACCCCGGUAGUCCACGCCGUAAACGAUGUCUACUAGGUUGUGAAAGUUCUGACACUGGCGCAGCCGAAGCAAAAGUGCUAAGUAGACCGCCUGGGGAGUACGGUCGCAAGGCUAAAACUCAAAGGAAUUGACGGGGGCUCACACAAGCGGUGGAGCAUGUGGAUUAAUUCGAAGCAACGCGCAGAACCUUACCUGGGUUUGACAUGCUUGGAUGCCUUUCCUGAAAGGGAUAAGGCUGCCCUUCGGGGUGAAACUUGCACAGGUGCUGCAUGGCUGUCGUCAGCUCGUGUCGUGAGAUGUCGGGUUAAGUCCUUUAACGAGCGAAACCCUUACCAUUAGUUGCCAGCGGGUCAUGCCGGGGACUCUAGUGGGACUGCCGGUGUUAAACCGGAGGAAGGCGGGGACGACGUCAAGUCAUCAUGGCCUUUAUGCCCAGGGCCUCACACGUGCUACAAUGGCUCGGACAAAGCGACGCAAGACCGCGAGGUGGAGCAAAUCGCAAAAACCGGGCCUCAGUUCGGAUUGCAGGCUGGCAACUCGCCUGCAUGAAGUUGGAAUCGCUAGUAAUCGCGUGUCAGCUAUAACGCGGUGAAUGUGUUCCUGAGCCUUGUACACACCGCCCGUCAAGUCAUGGGAGUCUGGAGUACCCGAAACCGGGUUGUCAACCUUUUAGGAGACGCCUGUCUACGGUAAGCCAGAUGACUGGGACUAAG
This 1444-nucleotide ribosomal RNA is filed under the name metagenome. RNAcentral describes it as "bacterial SSU rRNA". It matches the Rfam family "Bacterial small subunit ribosomal RNA". The record is from RNAcentral.